This 877-nucleotide long non-coding RNA is filed under the name Homo sapiens (human). Its description in RNAcentral is "HSALNT0245738". Lineage: Eukaryota; Metazoa; Chordata; Mammalia; Primates; Hominidae. The record is from RNAcentral.
GUUCCAAAGGGGUUGAGUAUGGAAUAAGAAAGGUCUUUGGGCACAUGGUGGAGGCGGGACCCUGUCAAUGGUGCAGGGAGAGAGAAGAUCACUUCUAUCUCUGAGACCACAAGAGGCAAUGGAGACAGCUGCAGAGGCAGUUCCAGUAAUUCGAUCAGUGGAUGGCUACAAAAAAGAGAAAGUCUUCAAAGAGGAGAUGGCAUUUGCACUUGAAAAGCUCCACCGUGUUGAGAUGGAUGGAAUGCGUCCCAUCAAAUGUACAGAACUUAGAGAUGACAUCAAGAUCUGGUUAUGGUAACUACAGAAGGCUCUUGUUAGGAGGCAGAAUCCAAACAGUUUGGCUAAGAAAGAGAGCCACUGGGCUGAGCUAAGAGUUUGGAUGUGAUUCUGCAGGUGGUGAAUGUGGAAGAGAUGGCUCCACCUAAAUCCAUACUAUACUUCCCCAGUGUGAGUUCCCACUGAGAAGGGGCAUCUGUAUCCAGCCAGGACUACAUUUCCCAGAACUCCUUCUUUUCCGGGCAGGGCCAUGUGACCAGUUCUGGACAAAGGAAUGUGAGCCGAAGUGAUGUGAUUCAUGUCCACGCUAAGGCCAUUAAGAGGCAGUUGUGCUCUCUCUUCUUGGGCAAUUGAGAGGCAGUUGUGCCCUCUCCUGCCUGGAUGCAGAGGACCCAGUAGAUGGAAGAGCCUCAAAAGGAAAAGGGCCCAUGUCCCUAAACUUCAAGAGGGGAAACAUCUCCUAAAAACCAGGAACACCAGAUGAGUGAAAAGUGCACAUGUGUUAGGUCAUCAGUACCUGCAUAAAAGAGACUGGGUCUUUUUCCUCCUGCUCUCAGGAAUGUGUGCUGAAUCGGAAGCACCCAGUGAAGAUGUCUUUCAU